CACGGUCUGUUGGUUUGAAAAGCACGUGCGCCGAGGAAAGUGAACAGAUCAAAAGACAACUCCAAGUGUACCUGGUCAAAACCCCGACUUUUAAAACCUAUAGAGCACUAACUUAGGCACAGCUUGAGUUUGCAAUAUGCGGUUUAUCACCAAGUCUUGGACUCCGAGCACCGAGCCGUUGGGAAACGGCGGCGAGGUCGAAAUGAAAGAGAGCAAUGGACAAGCGGUGGAGUUGAAGUUAACCUGACGGCUCAUUGCUGAUGCCAUAAACACACAGUAAUCGGUUUAUUCCCACUGGCAGGAUUCAAAAGGAAUCAAGCUCUACGUCAUUCCUUUCCGAUGUGGAUUCAGUUUACAAAUGCUCUCAGAUCCAAUGCCGUUAAUUUAUCAUUAUUCUUGAGUUAAUAAAUAAAUAAAUAAA
Molecule: long non-coding RNA, 421 nt
Organism: Nematostella vectensis (starlet sea anemone)
Lineage: Eukaryota; Metazoa; Cnidaria; Anthozoa; Actiniaria; Edwardsiidae
Exons: 3
Source: RefSeq, a predicted model, not a curated record